This 254-nucleotide ribosomal RNA is filed under the name uncultured bacterium. Its description in RNAcentral is "partial 16S ribosomal RNA". It matches the Rfam family "Bacterial small subunit ribosomal RNA", at positions 524 to 776 of the family's 1533-position model. The record is from RNAcentral.
UACAGAGGGGGCAAGCGUUGUUCGGAAUUACUGGGCGUAAAGGGCGCGUAGGCGGCCUUCUAAGUCGAACGUGAAAUCCCUGGGCUCAACCCAGGAACUGCGUCCGAUACUGGAAGGCUUGAAUCCGGGAGAGGGAUGCGGAAUUCCAGGUGUAGCGGUGAAAUGCGUAGAUAUCGGCAGGAACACCCAGGGGGGAAACCAGUCGACUGGGCAUCUACUGACGCUGAGGUGCGAGAGCGUGGGGAGCGAACCGG